This 297-nucleotide unclassified non-coding RNA is filed under the name Hevea brasiliensis (rubber tree). The record is from RNAcentral. Lineage: Eukaryota; Viridiplantae; Streptophyta; Magnoliopsida; Malpighiales; Euphorbiaceae.
UCCAGUGCCUUGAAAGUGAUCGGACGACAAAUGGAAGGCAACGGAUCGCCAGACCAUGCUGAAUUAGCUAGCAAGACAUUCACAGCUUCAGUAGGAUUGUAUAAAUCCCACCAUACAUGAGUUGAAGCUCGCGGGCACGCCAUAUCAGGUGAAAGACAGCCUUUUGUUCCGCCAUAUUCGCCUGUUCCACAGCAAGCAUUCUUUGCAUCCUCAAACCCAUAGGCUUGAGGAUGAAAAAUGAAUUCCAUCAUUGCUCGAUAGGUAUCACAGAAUAUGACUUGAGCACCUCGCAUUUUG